Helianthus annuus (common sunflower) is the source of this 2026-nucleotide long non-coding RNA. RefSeq lists it as uncharacterized. Lineage: Eukaryota; Viridiplantae; Streptophyta; Magnoliopsida; Asterales; Asteraceae. The transcript is spliced from 7 exons. The record is from RefSeq and is a predicted model, not a curated record.
GUUAAAUACUUUUUCAUUAUGUGAUCUCCAUAGAAACCAAAUGGUAGCCAGGAUAAUACAUGUCAUUAACUAUUCUAAUGUUCCCGUUAAAGUCAAAGCUUCCUACUUUUAAUCUCCACCUUUGGAUCAAGUUGAAAUUAAAUCAUGGCCGUAAUAAUUCACAAAAACCUUCUAGAAGGGAAGGUUGGAAACGGUUUUUGAUUCCUUCAAUUUCUCCCCCACAUCGGAACCCAGCAGUUAUAUCACCCUCUCCUGGUCCCAACACCACCGCCAUUCAUCACAACGACUCCUCCAUCAGAGGAGCCUCACCCCUCUGCGAUUACAUCUCCUAUUUCUAUGAACCCUCAAUCGCCAACUACUACUGACCAUCCUCACAACCUCAUCGUCCGUUGCUCUCGACACCACCGUAUCGAAAUCGUAUGACUCUUUCCCGCCGGUCUAGAAGAUGUCUGGAAGUUCCAUUUCAACGAUUAUGUUGAUUUUCUGGCGUUAGUUACGGUGGAUACGGUUCAGGAUCUCAGCGCAAGGGGAGUUGUUAAUGCUGGUACCGAUGCUUGGGAAGAGGUGGAAAGAUCUGACGACAUAAAUUAGCACGAUGACCAGCCCGGGUUCUCGUAUUACCUUCUUUAAUUACAAGCCUCUAAUUGGUUGGCUACAUUGUGCUGAGAUGGUUGCAUAUAAUCUGCAGGCCAGCAUUAGUUUCUACUUCUCGCGUGAUUUGUAAUUUCGUGAAGGCUCCAAAGAAAAGUGUUAGGGGAGUCGCAACUAAGAAGAAAAUUGUAAAGGUUGUGAACGAACCCAAGGCCGAAGUAAUUUAGGAUAGAUGGAGCAUUGCCGAGAAGAUUUGGGAAGAAAUCUUCAAUUUCAUCAUCAAUUGACUCACACUUAUCGUUCAUCAUCGACCAUCGUAUACAGUGCCAAUGUGGUUGGCAAUGAUGCCGCUCUCUGCAAGAAGGAAUAUCACUAUAAGCUUACGCACGACUGGAAAUGUGGGAAUGGUGAAUGGUUUUUAUGGAAUUAUGUUUUAUUGCAAAGAGCCAAUUUAUGAUGACAAUGAGCAUCGGUCAAUCGCACCUACAGAUCUAAAAAGUCAUUUUUACAGGUUUAUCGGGUAUUCGGAUGUGCGUGUUAUCAAAGUACUCUAUGCUUUUGUUGUGUUUAUAUAAUUAUUGUUCUUUUGUUAUACAGGUUCCUAUGACCCGUUUAAGAAAGCGAGUUGCUACGCGUCAACCUCAGCUGCCUACUAUAGACAAAGAAAUACAUGUUCCUCUCACCUGUUUAAGAAAGCGAGGUUCUACGCAUAUGAAAGAUUCCCUGAACACAUUUGAUGAAGUUGACAUGUAAGUUUAGUCAUGGUAAAGUGGGUGGGUUGGGCGGGUUUGGGUACGAGUCAGGAUGGAUUCGGGUCAGAGUGGAUCUGGAUCAAAACGGGUCAGGAGCAAAAUGUGUUCGGGUCAAAAUGGGUUUGGUGCAAAAUGAGUUCGGGUCAAAACAGUUUUGGAGCAAAAUAAGUUCUUGUCAAAAUGGGUCCUUUAAAGAAACUAUCAAUUUGUAUUCCAAGUAUCAUGUCAGCUAACGGUGCAGCGAGUGGUUGUAGCGGGGACGGUCGUUGAUAAACUCAUUUUCAUCAGAGAGUAGAGACGUUGUGGGGUGAGUUACGUUAGUGCAAUCGUGGGUUGAGUUAGUAGGUUACUUGCAGAAGAUACUUAUGUCAUAUGAAACUAAACUUACAGAAGAUACUUAGUAAUGAAGGUGGGGGCUGGUGUUUAUCGACUACCAUAUUUGAGAGUCAGUGGACCCGAAUUUGGUUUUAUAAUUAGCCUUUUAUCUUAUCUUCCACCGGGGGUGGCAUAAUACAUGAGUUGGGCAUGUAAGGUAAUUGGUCAUAAUAGGUUUUUGAUCAGUAUGAGUGAACCGCCAAAUGCUAUUGUUUUAUAUAGUUAUUGGUUGGUUAAAUAUGAUUAUAAAGCGAUGUUAUUAUAAUCAUAAUUUGAAUAUUUUUUAAAUGCAUUUUGGUUGUUAUUUA